RNAcentral lists this transfer RNA (85 nucleotides) under Spirochaetaceae bacterium. RNAcentral describes it as "tRNA-Ser". It matches the Rfam family "tRNA". From Rfam's summary of the family: Transfer RNA (tRNA) molecules are approximately 80 nucleotides in length. Their secondary structure includes four short double-helical elements and three loops (D, anti-codon, and T loops). The record is from RNAcentral. Lineage: Bacteria; Pseudomonadati; Spirochaetota; Spirochaetia; Spirochaetales; Spirochaetaceae. RNAcentral also lists the same sequence under 1 other name.
GGAGCGGUGGCCGAGUGGUUUAAGGCGGCGGUCUUGAAAACCGUUGUGCGGCAACGUACCGGGGGUUCGAAUCCCCCCUGCUCCG